GACGAACGCUGGUGGCGUGCUUAACACAUGCAAGUCGAACGGAAAGGCCCCUUCGGGGGUACUCGAGUGGCGAACGGGUGAGUAACACGUGGGUGAUCUGCCCUGCACUUCGGGAUAAGCCUGGGAAACUGGGUCUAAUACCGGAUAGGACCACGGGAUGCAUGUCCUGUGGUGGAAAGCUUUUGCGGUGUGGGAUGGGCCCGCGGCCUAUCAGCUUGUUGGUGGGGUGACGGCCUACCAAGGCGACGACGGGUAGCCGGCCUGAGAGGGUGUCCGGCCACACUGGGACUGAGAUACGGCCCAGACUCCUACGGGAGGCAGCAGUGGGGAAUAUUGCACAAUGGGCGCAAGCCUGAUGCAGCGACGCCGCGUGGGGGAUGACGGCCUUCGGGUUGUAAACCUCUUUCAGCAGGGACGAAGCGCAAGUGACGGUACCUGCAGAAGAAGCACCGGCCAACUACGUGCCAGCAGCCGCGGUAAUACGUAGGGUGCGAGCGUUGUCCGGAAUUACUGGGCGUAAAGAGCUCGUAGGUGGUUUGUCGCGUUGUUCGUGAAAACCGGGGGCUUAACCCUCGGCGUGCGGGCGAUACGGGCAGACUGGAGUACUGCAGGGGAGACUGGAAUUCCUGGUGUAGCGGUGGAAUGCGCAGAUAUCAGGAGGAACACCGGUGGCGAAGGCGGGUCUCUGGGCAGUAACUGACGCUGAGGAGCGAAAGCGUGGGGAGCGAACAGGAUUAGAUACCCUGGUAGUCCACGCCGUAAACGGUGGGUACUAGGUGUGGGUUUCCUUCCUUGGGAUCCGUGCCGUAGCUAACGCAUUAAGUACCCCGCCUGGGGAGUACGGCCGCAAGGCUAAAACUCAAAGGAAUUGACGGGGGCCCGCACAAGCGGCGGAGCAUGUGGAUUAAUUCGAUGCAACGCGAAGAACCUUACCUGGGUUUGACAUGCACAGGACGCCGGCAGAGAUGUCGGUUCCCUUGUGGCCUGUGUGCAGGUGGUGCAUGGCUGUCGUCAGCUCGUGUCGUGAGAUGUUGGGUUAAGUCCCGCAACGAGCGCAACCCUUGUCUCAUGUUGCCAGCGGGUAAUGCCGGGGACUCGUGAGAGACUGCCGGGGUCAACUCGGAGGAAGGUGGGGAUGACGUCAAGUCAUCAUGCCCCUUAUGUCCAGGGCUUCACACAUGCUACAAUGGCCGGUACAAAGGGCUGCGAUGCCGCGAGGCUUAGCGAAUCCUUUUAAAGCCGGUCUCAGUUCGGAUCGGGGUCUGCAACUCGACCCCGUGAAGUCGGAGUCGCUAGUAAUCGCAGAUCAGCAACGCUGCGGUGAAUACGUUCCCGGGCCU
This 1340-nucleotide ribosomal RNA is filed under the name uncultured bacterium. RNAcentral's name for it is "bacterial SSU rRNA". It matches the Rfam family "Bacterial small subunit ribosomal RNA", at positions 28 to 1381 of the family's 1533-position model. The record is from RNAcentral.